GCUUGCUCCCGGAUCUGUUAGCGGCGGACGGGUGAGUAACACGUGGGUAACCUGCCUGUAAGACUGGGAUACACUGCCGGGAAACCGACGGAGCUAAUACCGGAUCAGUUCCUUGAACCGCAUGGUUCAAGGAUGAAAGACGGUUUCGGCUGUCACUUACAGAUGGACCCGCGGCGCAUUAGCUAGUUGGUGGGGUAAUGGCUCACCAAGGCGACGAUGCGUAGCCGACCUGAGAGGGUGAUCGGCCACACUGGGACUGAGACACGGCCCAGACUCCUACGGGAGGCAGCAGUAGGGAAUCUUCCGCAAUGGACGAAAGUCUGACGGAGCAACGCCGCGUGAGUGAUGAAGGUUUUCGGAUCGUAAAGCUCUGUUGUUAGGGAAGAACAAGUGCGAGAGUAACUGCUCGCACCUUGACGGUACCUAACCAGAAAGCCACGGCUAACUACGUGCCAGCAGCCGCGGUAAUACGUAGGUGGCAAGCGUUGUCCGGAAUUAUUGGGCGUAAAGGGCUCGCAGGCGGUUUCUUAAGUCUGAUGUGAAAGCCCCCGGCUCAACCGGGGAGGGUCAUUGGAAACUGGGAAACUUGAGUGCAGAAGAGGAGAGUGGAAUUCCACGUGUAGCGGUGAAAUGCGUAGAGAUGUGGAGGAACACCAGUGGCGAAGGCGACUCUCUGGUCUGUAACUGACGCUGAGGAGCGAAAGCGUGGGGAGCGAACAGGAUUAGAUACCCUGGUAGUCCACGCCGUAAACGAUGAGUGCUAAGUGUUAGGGGGUUUCCGCCCCUUAGUGCUGCUGCAGCUAACGCAUUAAGCACUCCGCCUGGGGAGUACGGUCGCAAGACUGAAACUCAAAGGAAUUGACGGGGGCCCGCACAAGCGGUGGAGCAUGUGGUUUAAUUCGAAGCAACGCGAAGAACCUUACCAGGUCUUGACAUCCUCUGACAACCCUAGAGAUAGGGCUUUCCCUUCGGGGACAGAGUGACAGGUGGUGCAUGGUUGUCGUCAGCUCGUGUCGUGAGAUGUUGGGUUAAGUCCCGCAACGAGCGCAACCCUUGAUCUUAGUUGCCAGCAUUCAGUUGGGCACUCUAAGGUGACUGCCGGUGACAAACCGGAGGAAGGUGGGGAUGACGUCAAAUCAUCAUGCCCCUUAUGACCUGGGCUACACACGUGCUACAAUGGACAGAACAAAGGGCUGCAAGACCGCAAGGUUUAGCCAAUCCCAUAAAUCUGUUCUCAGUUCGGAUCGCAGUCUGCAACUCGACU
RNAcentral lists this ribosomal RNA (1264 nucleotides) under Bacillus pumilus. Its description in RNAcentral is "bacterial SSU rRNA". It matches the Rfam family "Bacterial small subunit ribosomal RNA", at positions 78 to 1317 of the family's 1533-position model. The record is from RNAcentral. Lineage: Bacteria; Bacillati; Bacillota; Bacilli; Caryophanales; Bacillaceae.